GAUAAACGCUGGCGGCGUGCCUAAUACAUGCAAGUCGAACGAGGAGUCCUUGUAGCAAUACUUGGACUUCCUAGUGGCGAAUGGGUGAGUAACGCGUUGGUGACCUGCCCCGAAGAGAGGAAUAACUCCGGGAAACUGGAGCUAAUACCUCAUGUGGUUACCAGGGUUAGAGGCCUGGCAACUGAAGGAGCAAUCCACUUUGGGAGGGACCUGCGUCCCAUCAGCUAGUUGGUAAGGUAACGGCCUACCAAGGCUACGACGGUAGGGGGCCUGAGAGGGUGGCCCCCCACACUGGCGACUGAACAACGGGCCGACGACACCUACCGGGUGGGCUG
Molecule: ribosomal RNA, 335 nt
Filed under: uncultured Chloroflexota bacterium
Lineage: Bacteria; Bacillati; Chloroflexota
Description: bacterial SSU rRNA
Rfam family: Bacterial small subunit ribosomal RNA
Source: RNAcentral